GACGAGCCACACAAACGUUAUUCGGAAUCACUGGGCUUAAAGGGUGCGUAGGCUGCGCAGCAAGUUGGAUGUGGAAUCCUACAGCUUAACUGUAGAAGUGCAUUCAAAACUGCUGUGCUCGAGGGAGACAGAGGUGAGCGGAACUGAGGGUGGAGCGGUGAAAUGCGUUGAUAUCCUCAGGAACACCGGUGGCGAAAGCGGCUCACUGGGUCUCUUCUGACGCUGAGGCACGAAAGCUAGGGUAGCGAACGGG
RNAcentral lists this ribosomal RNA (253 nucleotides) under uncultured bacterium. RNAcentral's name for it is "partial 16S ribosomal RNA". It matches the Rfam family "Bacterial small subunit ribosomal RNA", at positions 524 to 776 of the family's 1533-position model. The record is from RNAcentral.